UAUAUUAUAAAUUUAUUGUGUAAAUAUAUUUUCUCUCUUGUUAUUGGUAACAUUUUUGCUUUAAAGUAGAUAAAUGUCUCAAUUAUUCAUGUGUCAAAAAAGUUAAUGGAAUCUCACCCACCUUUUAUUCCUCGGGCCUCUACCAUGUUAAACUUUUCCAAACAUGGGAGGUCUAGUUUUACUAACUUCUUCUUCUUUCCACUUCUACAUUUCUUUCAACUUCAAAUAAAUAAUUCAACAUUUAACAUAUGUGUUUUGCAACUUACAAUUACAUGUACAUAGGCAAUGUACUUUUAAAUACUUCGAACAAUAUUCAUUUAUUAUGUACUUGUAUAUAUGACAAACUUAACAUUUCUAAUCUUCUAAAAUUUAUAUAUAUAUAUAUAUAUAUAUAUAUAAAUACACACACACCAGUUCCAUUGGAUAUACCAAGCCCUAAUUUAUUUUGAUAAUACUCAACACCUAUCGACCCUGAUUAUGUCUUGUGUUACAUCUUCCUCCAUCUCUAUUCUCAUUAAUGGUACUAGAACGGAUUUCUUCCAACCCACGCGUGGUAUUCAACAAGAUGGAUUCCAAUUAUGUUUGGACGACAAGGUAUUCCUAUCUCCCAUGUUCUUUCUGCGCAUGAUAUUAUUUUUGUCUCCAAAAUAACCCACCUAAGCUGUAACACCAUCAUCGACACCCUCAAUACAUUCUCAUCCUUUUCAGGGCAAAAAAUAAACUACAACAAAUCUCACGUCUUCCUAUCGAGAAAUUCAUCUCAGGAAGAUAAUGAGUAUGUUACUAGUUCCCUACAUAUGAAAGAAGGAACUGUAAUGGGAAAAUAUCUUGGAUAUCCUCUUACCCAUACUAGUUAUCAAAGUAGGGAUUUACAAUUGCUCAUCGACAACUUUAAUGAGUGUCUGGCAGGAUGGAAAACAAAAUUCCUAACCAUGGCAGGACGCACUACUCUUAUCCGAUCCACUCUUAAUAGCCUCGCAAACCAUGUCAUGCAAUUUACUGAACUUCCAAAACAGGUGGCUUUUCACCUACUGAAUAACACUAAGCUAAGGCACACAUAUAGGGAAAA
Non-coding RNA from Solanum lycopersicum (tomato), 1069 nucleotides. The record is from RefSeq and is a predicted model, not a curated record. Lineage: Eukaryota; Viridiplantae; Streptophyta; Magnoliopsida; Solanales; Solanaceae.